This 513-nucleotide ribosomal RNA is filed under the name uncultured bacterium. RNAcentral's name for it is "bacterial SSU rRNA". It matches the Rfam family "Bacterial small subunit ribosomal RNA", at positions 17 to 518 of the family's 1533-position model. The record is from RNAcentral.
UUAUGGCUCAGGAUGAACGCUAGCUACAGGCUAACACAUGCAAGUCGAGGGGCAGCAUGUUGGUUGCUUGCAACCAAUGAUGGCGACCGGCGCACGGGUGAGUAACGCGUAUCCAACCUUCCCCUUAGUAGGGCAUAGCCCGGCGAAAGUCGGAUUAAUACCCUAUGUUCUUCGUAGAUGACAUCUGAAAUGAAGCAAAGGUUUACCGCUAAGGGAUGGGGAUGCGUCUGAUUAGGCAGUCGGCGGGUAACGGCCCACCGAGCCGACGAUCAGUAGGGGUUCUGAGAGGAAGGUCCCCCACAUUGGAACUGAGACACGGUCCAAACUCCUACGGGAGGCAGCAGUGAGGAAUAUUGGUCAAUGGGCGAGAGCCUGAACCAGCCAAGUAGCGUGCAGGAAGACGGCCCUAUGGGUUGUAAACUGCUUUUAUGCGGGGAUAAAGGUCGCCCACGUGUGGGUGUUUGUAGGUACCGCAUGAAUAAGGAAACCGGCUAAUUCCGUGCCAGCAGCAGC